Poecilia reticulata (guppy) is the source of this 327-nucleotide long non-coding RNA. RefSeq lists it as uncharacterized. Lineage: Eukaryota; Metazoa; Chordata; Actinopteri; Cyprinodontiformes; Poeciliidae. The record is from RefSeq and is a predicted model, not a curated record.
UCUCAUCUGAUGACUGCUGGAGAUGGGCACCACCAGCCCCCCUCAAAACCCUGCAAGGAUCAGUGUGUUCAGAUCACGAAUGGAAAGCUUUUAAGGCAAAGAAAACACCCAGAAAUGUUUUUCCACCCCAGGCAUCCGGUCCCAAAAAUCAUCAGCUCUAAUGAUGCCACAUAUAUAGCGAGUCCACAACAUCUUAAAAUUGUUUCUGUAAAGUGCAGUGGUCCAGUGAAUGGGAAUGUUCUGUCGUCGAUCCUCACUGUUCUCCACGAUGUGGAGGUUCAUCCUCAGAACUGGUUGGUGAUCUGGUGGAGCCAGAGCUUCUUCUGA